Molecule: ribosomal RNA, 468 nt
Filed under: uncultured bacterium
Lineage: Bacteria
Description: partial 16S ribosomal RNA
Rfam family: Bacterial small subunit ribosomal RNA
Source: RNAcentral
GACGAACGCUGGCGGCGUGCUUAACACAUGCAAGUCGAACGGAAAGGCCCUGCUUUUGUGGGGUGCUCGAGUGGCGAACGGGUGAGUAACACGUGAGUAACCUGCCCUUGACUUUGGGAUAACUUCAGGAAACUGGGGCUAAUACCGGAUAGGAGCUCCUGCUGCAUGGUGGGGGUUGGACAGUUUCGGCGGUUGGGGGUGGACUCGCGGCUUAUCAGCUUGUUGGUGGGGUAGUGGCUUACCCAGGCUUUGACGGGUAGCCGGCCUGAGAGGGUGACCGGCCACAUGGGGACUGAGAUACGGCCCAGACUCCUACGGGAGGCAGCAGUGGAGAAUAUUGCACAAUGGGCGGAAGCCUGAUGCAGCAACGCCGCGUGCGGGAUGACGGCCUUCGUGUGGUAAACCGCUUUCGCCUGUGACGAAGCGUGAGUGACGGUAAUGGGUAAAGAAGCACCGGCUAACUACGUG